CAGCCGCCGCGGUAAUACGGAGGGAGCUAGCGUUAUUCGGAAUUACUGGGCGUAAAGCGCACGUAGGCGGCUUUGUAAGUAAGAGGUGAAAGCCCGGAGCUCAACUCCGGAACUGCCUUUUAGACUGCAUCGCUUGAAUCCAGGAGAGGUGAGUGGAAUUCCGAGUGUAGAGGUGAAAUUCGUAGAUAUUCGGAAGAACACCAGUGGCGAAGGCGGCUCACUGGACUGGUAUUGACGCUGAGGUGCGAAAGCGUGGGGAGCAAACAGGAUUAGAUACCCGCGUAGUCCCUGUCUCUUAUAA
This 301-nucleotide ribosomal RNA is filed under the name uncultured bacterium. Its description in RNAcentral is "partial 16S ribosomal RNA". It matches the Rfam family "Bacterial small subunit ribosomal RNA", at positions 509 to 809 of the family's 1533-position model. The record is from RNAcentral.